UACGUAGGGUGCAAGCGUUGUCCGGAAUUAUUGGGCGUAAAGAGCUCGUAGGCGGUUUGUCGCGUCUGCUGUGAAAACUCGGGGCUUAACUCCGGGCCUGCAGUGGGUACGGGCAGGACUAGAGUGCGGUAGGGGAGACUGGAAUUCCUGGUGUAGCGGUGAAAUGCGCAGAGUAUCAGGAGGAACACCUGUGGUGUAGACAGCUUACUGGACCACUUCUGACGCUGAGACACGAAAGCGUGGGUAGCAAACAGG
This 255-nucleotide ribosomal RNA is filed under the name uncultured bacterium. Its description in RNAcentral is "partial 16S ribosomal RNA". It matches the Rfam family "Bacterial small subunit ribosomal RNA", at positions 524 to 776 of the family's 1533-position model. The record is from RNAcentral.